AGCUCCAAUAGCGUAUAUUAAAGUUGUUGCAGUUAAAAGCUCGUAGUCGGAUUUCGGGGCCUGCCGAGCGGUCUGCCGAUGGGUAUGCACUGUUCGGCGCGUCCUUCUUUCCGGAGACUAAUUCUACUCUUAACUGAGCGGAAUUGGGAGACGGAUCGUUUACUUUGAAAAAUCAGAGUGUUUCAAGCAGGCAGCUCGCUCUUGCAUGGAUUAGCAUGGGAUAAUGAAAUAGGACUCUGGUGCUAUUUUGUUGGUUUCGAACACCGGAGUAAUGAUUAACAGGGACAGUCAGGGGCACUCGUAUUCCGUCGAGAGAGGUGAAAUUCUCAGACCAAUGGAAGACGAACCACUGCGAAAGCAUUUGCCAGGGAUGUUUUCA
This 379-nucleotide ribosomal RNA is filed under the name uncultured eukaryote. Its description in RNAcentral is "SSU rRNA". It matches the Rfam family "Eukaryotic small subunit ribosomal RNA", at positions 587 to 972 of the family's 1831-position model. The record is from RNAcentral.